This 468-nucleotide ribosomal RNA is filed under the name uncultured bacterium. RNAcentral's name for it is "partial 16S ribosomal RNA". It matches the Rfam family "Bacterial small subunit ribosomal RNA", at positions 28 to 507 of the family's 1533-position model. The record is from RNAcentral.
GACGAACGCUGGCGGCGGGCUUAACACAUGCAAGUCGAACGGAAAGGCCCUGCUUUUGUGGGGUGCUCGAGUGGCGAACGGGUGAGUAACACGUGAGUAACCUGCCCUUGACUUUGGGAUAACUUCAGGAAACUGGGGCUAAUACCGGAUAGGAGCUCCUGCUGCAUGGUGGGGGUUGGAAAGUUUCGGCGGUUGGGGAUGGACUCGCGGCUUAUCAGCUUGUUGGUGGGGUAGUGGCUUACCAAGGCUUUGACGGGUAGCCGGCCUGAGAGGGUGACCGGCCACAUUGCGACUGCGGUACGGCCCAGACUGCUACGGGAGGCAGUAGUGGGGAAUAUUGCACAAUGGGAGGAAGUCUGAUGCAGCAACGUCGCGUGCGGGAUGACGGCCUUCGGGGUGUAAACCGCUUUCGCCUGUGACGAAGCGUGAGUGACGGUAAUGGGUGAAGAAGCACCGGCUAACUACGUG